CCUACGGGAGGCAGCAGUGGGGGAUAUUGCACAAUGGGGGAAACCCUGAUGCAGCGACGCCGCGUGUGGGAAGACGGUCUUCUGGAUUGUAAACCACUGUCCCCAGGGACGAAAAUGACGGUACCUGGGGAGGAAGCUCCGGCUAACUACGUGCCAGCAGCCGCGGUAAUACGUAGGGAGCAAGGGUUGUCCGGAAUUACGGGGUGUAAGGGGAGCGUAGGCGGGGAUGCAAGUUGGGUGUCAAAACUACGGGCUAAACCGAUAGUCGCACUCAAAACUGCAGCGCUUGAGUGAAGUAGAGGCAGGCGGAAUUCGUGGUGUAGCGGUGAAAUGCGUAGAUAUUAGGAGGAACACCAGUGGCGAAGGCGGCCUGCUGGGCUUUUACUGACGCUGAGGCUCGAAAGUGUGGGGAGCAAACAGGAUUAGAUACCCCAGUAGUC
RNAcentral lists this ribosomal RNA (440 nucleotides) under uncultured bacterium. Its description in RNAcentral is "partial 16S ribosomal RNA". It matches the Rfam family "Bacterial small subunit ribosomal RNA", at positions 338 to 795 of the family's 1533-position model. The record is from RNAcentral.